UUACUAAAAAAUUUCUGGAAAAUUUAUGGAGCCUGAAGGUUUAUUACUGUGUUCACAAGGGCCUGCCUUCUAGGUGUUUGAUUUCAAUUUCCUGAUUCAUACACCACUUACCCAUUUUGAUGUGAGAUGCCAAAACUGCAUAUAGACAGAGAAGCAUGUUGUGUGAGAAUGAGGAAGUGGGACAGAUUUUGUUGACAAGUUGAGCGAUAUUUCCAAACCUUUAUGAUUCUAAUGGAUCAGGGAGUUUGUGUGCUGUUGCUUCUUUUUCUUGAUUCAAUCUAAAAAAUGUGAGACUUGCCCAUACUUACUCAUGAAUCUUGUCAGAAUAAUGGAUAACUGUGGUACAGACAAGAUUCAGACCCUGUAGCAUAUGUAGGAGACAUGAGAAAUGCAUAUAAAAUUUUAGAUGGAAAACUCUUAUGCAAGAGUCCACUUAAAAGACCUAAGCACAGUUGGGUUGAUAAUAUUAAAGUGGGUAUUAAACAAAUAGGAUUGGAGGAUAUGAAUAGAAUUCAUCUUAUUUAAGUAGGGUGCUCUGGCUAUCUCUGUGAACACAGUAAUAAACCUUUGGACUGCAUAAUGGUUGGGGAAGUUUUUAACUGGCUGAGGGGCUCUUAGCUUCCCAAGAAGGGUGAUUUUCCUUCAAGUUAGUUAUAGUUGUCUUUGGUCUGCAGCAUGCAGAACUUGUGAAUGCUCGUUUACUCUAGUGUAUAGAAAGGAGAGGGAGUCAGGCCUCACACAUUGUGAUGUCAAGAACCUUCCUCAGGAAGGAGAGGAUUCUAUCUGCAAGAUGGAGGGACAGCCAAAAAAUUUGAGAUGAACAUUUGGGCAUUAAAUGAUCCAUAAACUUCAUUUGUGUUCACUUCACAUUUGAAAUGAGGGAUUUCGUUGUUGCUACUGCUUUUAUUGGAAUGCGGCUCGAAAGCAGCGACCACAAGCGCCUAGGCUUCCUUCAACUACUGGAAGGUCGGAGUUACCUGAACACACAUCUGCCUCUGAGUUAGAGAGUUCCUCAGACACAGAAGAAGAAUCUGAUAGUGAGCAGUCAUCUGACUUUGGGGCCAAUAACAGAGAAUGGUGGCACAAAAAUCGCAGAAGUUGAUGCAGCAACAGAUCUGGCACAAGUGUCAGAACCUGGUGAGCCACAAAGCACUGAAGAUGAAGCAUGUGAUAAGCCAUUAAAGAUUAAACCUUCUAGUUCAGAUAUGGGAGAUACAGAAGCAACAAAAUUAUCAGAUUCAUGAUUGCAAUACCAAUGAGGACAUUAUAUUGAAAAUUCAAAUCACUGAAUGCCAUACAUUUAGCUAGAUAUUUGAAAAUGAAGCGGUCUUAACUGUCAGUUUUAUUUUCAACUAGAUCAUUAAUUCAAAUCAAGUAAAUUGUGAACUAUGAUAAUUAGAUACUAAACUAUUUUAGUAUGUUUACAUCAUGUGCUGUAUUUUCCUGUUGGAAACAGAAAAGAGUCGUGUCUUUCCAUCAUUAUUUUAUUAACAUGCAGUUGAGGACAUUAAGAAGAGAUGGAGGGGACUGCGCGACACGUUCCGGAAGGAAUUAAAGAAAUGUAGUGACAAACGAUCUGGAAGUGGUGGAGACACAUCACAUGAACCUAAGUGGCCUUUUUUCAACCAAAUAUGGUUUUUGACAGACACUGUUGAGCCUAGAAGUAUGACAAGUAAUGUUCCUGAUGUAAGAUUUGAAGCUUUCACGGCGGUGACUAUGAAGAAAGCAGUCUUCUGGGAUUUGGCACCGUGUAU
Molecule: long non-coding RNA, 1754 nt
Organism: Cryptotermes secundus
Lineage: Eukaryota; Metazoa; Arthropoda; Insecta; Blattodea; Kalotermitidae
Exons: 5
Source: RefSeq, a predicted model, not a curated record